AACAAACCAAAAUUAAUGAUGAAGUUAAACAAAGGCUAGAUACAAAUGAAUCAUCUCUAAAAGAUAUAUAUAAUAAAAUGGAUUUUCUACUAACUGCCUUUGAUGAGCAAAACACUCUUAAUAAAAGGGUAGAGCUUAAAUUAAUAAAGUUAGCUGCUGCACUGCCUAUUGCUACUAACCUUGAGCAGGUAAAGAAUAUAACUACUAGAGGAGGUAAAGCUACCAGAGAUCCACCAUACCCAAAAGAGAAACAAAGAACAUCAGCACCAGUGCAACCAGCAG
This 282-nucleotide long non-coding RNA is filed under the name Sorghum bicolor (sorghum). Its description in RNAcentral is "long non-coding RNA (SBIC_LNC006393)". The record is from RNAcentral. Lineage: Eukaryota; Viridiplantae; Streptophyta; Magnoliopsida; Poales; Poaceae.